RNAcentral lists this ribosomal RNA (492 nucleotides) under uncultured bacterium. Its description in RNAcentral is "partial 16S ribosomal RNA". It matches the Rfam family "Bacterial small subunit ribosomal RNA", at positions 29 to 507 of the family's 1533-position model. The record is from RNAcentral.
AGUGAACGCUGGCGGUAGGCCUAACACAUGCAAGUCGAACGGCAGCACAGUAAGAGCUUGUUCUUACGGGUGGCGAGUGGCGGACGGGUGAGGAAUACAUCGGAAUCUACUUUUUCGUGGGGGAUAACGUAGGGAAACUUACGCUAAUACCGCAUACGCCCUACGGGUGAAAGCAGGGGAUCUUCGGACCUUGCGCGCUUGACUGAGCCGAUGUCGGAUUAGCUAGUUGGCGGGGUAAAGGCCCACCAAGGCGACGAUCCGUAGCUGGUCUGAGAGGAUGAUCAGCCACACUGGAACUGAGACACGGUCCAGACUCCUACGGGAGGCAGCAGUGGGGAAUAUUGGACAAUGGGCGCAAGCCUGAUCCAGCCAUACCGCGUGGGUGAAGAAGGCCUUCGGGUUGUAAAGCCCUUUUGUUGGGAAAGAAAAGCAGCAGGUUAAUACCCCGCUGUUCUGACGGUACCCAAAGAAUAAGCACCGGCUAACUUCGUG